UACGUAGGGGGCAAGCGUUAUCCGGAUUUACUGGGUGUAAAGGGAGCGUAGGUGGUCUGGUAAGUCAGGUGGGAAAGCCCGGGGCUCAACCCCGGGAUUGCACUUGAAACUAUCAGGCUAGAGUGCAGGAGAGGUAAGUGGAAUUCCUAGUGUAGCGGUGAAAUGCGUAGAUAUUAGGAGGAACACCAGUGGCGAAGGCGGCUUACUGGACUGUAACUGACACUGAGGCUCGAAAGCGUGGGGAGCAAACAGG
This 253-nucleotide unclassified non-coding RNA is filed under the name uncultured Lachnospiraceae bacterium. RNAcentral describes it as "contains 16S-23S intergenic spacer region". It matches the Rfam family "Bacterial small subunit ribosomal RNA", at positions 524 to 776 of the family's 1533-position model. Lineage: Bacteria; Bacillati; Bacillota; Clostridia; Lachnospirales; Lachnospiraceae. The record is from RNAcentral.